ACCAGUAGGAUUUUGAAAUAUAAUUUUUCAAAAUGUUGCUUUCCUUUUAAAUGGAAGUUCUAAUCAUUUAUGAUUAAUUUUCAUCUCCAGUUCUCCCAUAGGAAAUAAAGCAUGUGCAAGGAUAUUUAAAGUUUCAGAGGACUGUUCUUAAAAUGUCCGUGCUGAUAACUGGUUUGGCUGUUUUUGUUUUAGAAACUUUUUUUUUAAUGCAGGAGAAUGUUGUGAAGGAGAAGAAUCAUGCAAAAUAGAUUUACUGUUUUGUCUGACAUCCUGCAGGCUUAAAGGAAUGGUGACCAUUCUGAAUGCUUCUGUAAUUCAGACUAUCUUCAUUCAUUAAAAAAAAUAAAAUUAAUUAAAUAAAAGUAGACAGUAUAGAUACAUAGGAAUUGGGACUAGUUCUCUGAAAAGGAAGAUCUACUCUCAUACUUGGUCAUCGUGUGGAUCCCCGUAACACAUGACAGGGAAACCGUGAGCAUGACCUCUGUUGGUAUUCCAUAAAAGUUUUGGCCUUCUAUUUGCCUAUAAAAAGAUACAUCUAUGCAUAAUUUUCCCUUUUGUAGCUAACUACUAUGAUAAUUGAUAUGGAGUAAAACUGACAUGAAUUUAAAACUAGAUGGGAUGGCUUGUAUGGCUGGCAGAAAAAAGCAUUUUAAUAUGGAUUCUGGCCCACAUCUGUAGUCCAGGACACCAUACAAGAGUUUUAAGAUCAAGCUCUUCCACUGGCCAUGAAGGAACUGGAUGACCACCGGCAAGCCACAAAAGGGCCGUGUCUCAGUUUCCCCAGCUCCAAAGUAGGAACGAACAAGGUUUAGUCUACCUCACAGGACUGUUGUGAGGAAACAAUAGCGUAACCAAGUGCUCUGCACAGUACAAAGCCAUUCAAAUAACAGCUAGGACGUAUAUGGGCCAUAAAAACAUUCCCGAAGGAAGGAAAGUUACUUCUUUACAAAUCAAUAGCCAAUUCUCACUUCUGCUGUUAAGUGAAAUAUUAGGGAAAAAUGCUUUCUUGGCCAAGUUAGUAACAAAAAUAUAACUGUGUAUGCCCCCCUUUAUUUAAGCAUGCUUGCAUUUUAAACGAACACGGCCAUAAAAGUCUGUAUACACAAAUUUCUCCGGAAGCUAAAAUGUUAAUCUGUAACAUAUGCUUGAAACAAUCUGCCCAAUAUAAUAACCAACUUCCAUCUUAUGAAAAAUAACUUACCAUCCAUAACCUGGGAGGUGGAGUGUCUGUAAGUGGCUGGUGCUUAGGGAUCGUACCACAGAAGUUUUGGUGACAUCCAAGCAUGCUGCUGAAAUGGGUGCAUUCGAAAGGGCUGUAGAAGUAACGCAAAACUUCGGUUUCAUAAAAAUCUGCUCGUGCUUUAAAAUAUUUAACUCUGUAGAACCACAGUUAGGGAAAGCUCAGUAAUGCUGCUCAUGAUAUUUAUAAAAUAAUACCUUUAACAUAGUGCAAUAUUUUAUUAUAUAUAUAGUGGGAGGAGCAGUAGGGGCAUCACAGUUGCACUUUAGUGCAACGGGAACACCCCAAAUUGCCCAGGGGAGAGUGAGAUGUAAGGUCUCAAUGAAAACAGUUGUAUUAUAUUGAAUUCCUGAUGUAAUGUCGCUGCCAUGCUAUGUUAUCAAUAGCUAACAAGUAAUAAAGAAAGCAAAACCACCACAGAAAAAAGAAUAUCUUCAUUUGAUGGCAUCUGAAAAGGUGACUGCUGCCUCUCUCUGGAAUUACAGCCUGGUAUAAUCUGGCCACACAAACAAGCUCCACAGUCCAUUUGUGUUAAACAAAAUGGCUAUUUUGAAAAUUGCCUAAAAGCAUUAACUUCUGGUUUUACUUUUGUUUUAUUUAUGGAUUUGCCUUGCUCCCUGUUAGUAAUUAGACCAGUGAAAGUGUACUUUCUACAUUGGUAUUUAAUGAUUGGGUUAGGCAUUUAGCCCCUCAAGUUGAGCAACAUUUUAGCCCUGUUUUGGAAUCAGAAUUAAUAUGCUACAUUUCUUAAUGGCAAGAUCUACAUUCUUUAAUAUCAGAACUAGUUGGAUACUAUGUGGCCACUUGUGACUUUUGAGAAAAGAAAACAGCUUAAUAUUUGAGGGUACUGUCAGGUUCAAAAUUUAAGUAACUCUGAAUUUUUUGAAAGACAAUUUGAAAAUACUUGGCUCUUAUUAAUAGUAAGAUAAUAAAAUCUUAAGUUCCCUAAAAGUAAAUAAAUUUAAAAUCACUCUAAAAAUGUUUUGUCUUUAUUUCUAAAUUGAGAUAAUAGCUUUCUUUUUAAAAAUGGGGUGGUCCCUCAAUCCUUUUUAAGCCAUGGAUCCCCUAAACAGCUGAUUAAAACUAGACUCUCGCCCCUAAAAGAUACACACAUGCACACCAUAAGUUUUAUAGGACCUGGGGCCACAGGCCCACUGUAUCACAUGGCCACAUAGUUUAGUUAUUCUUAUCAAAUGUAUUGGCUCUCAGCAAUCAGGAAAAUAAUACAACUUUCGAGGUGCAAGGAUAACUUCAUUUUUCCACACUUGACGACAUGUGACUAGUUAACAUAUUUCAAUUUAAAACACUUUUCAAAGCCAAAAUGUAUGGUUCACUAACCUGGAGAGGAAGUUACCUGAUGCCUGCAAGCAGAGAACAGUUUUUAAUUAAAUAUCAACAGUCAAGAACAGUACCUUAUGGACUUGAUUCCAAGGAUAACGUAUGGUUUAUGAAGGAAUACAAAUAGGCACAGUGGUGUUCAGAAGAUUUAUUAAGUAAACCAGCUAAAACAUGACGUAGGCAGGCACACUUGACAGUCAAAAGGAAGAAUUGACUCUUCAUCGCUACCUCAUUACGGUUUUUGUAUCUGUUCGCCAGGUACACACAUAAAACCACCUCUGCUCAAAAAAGAAACUCAGAGCUUAUGUUCUUUGUUCUGACAGACAUAAGUAUUUUUUUUUAAGUCUCUUUUCCGUCUUGGCUAACCCCAGAAUAUUAGUCACAUAAAAGACCCUGCAGUUCCCCAUUUUUCCUGUUAGAUAAAACUGGUAUCUUUAGCUCCUAAAACAGUUCUUAAAAAACUCCACAUAUCUUUUAUGUUAUCCCUAAGGAUCAAUAGCAGGCAUGCCUUUCCCAGUCAUUUUUGAAGAGACCAAUCUUCAAGGCAAAAAUAAAGUAGGAAUAACAUAUAUGGUGCCGGGGCGGGGAGAACCACGGACCCGCUAGAGGACCCAUUUGCAGCACGUUCUUUUUGAAGGUUCUCCCCAAUGGGAGUGGAGAACCGCCUCAGAGCCAUGGGCAUGCGCCUCUGGAGCACCUUCCAGAAGCCACCGGCAUCGGCGAGCGGGAAGCUUGUGCGCUUCCAAUUCACGGCACCUGGCAGCCAGGCUGCAGCUCCUUCCCAGGCCCCCAGCACAGCUUCAGAAAGCAAACGGAAAGGAAGCAUCAGCUGACUUUCCUAGAGAAUUACAAGGCUGAAGAGUCCUCUUAUAGUACUUAGUUCCUCGUCGUCCAAGUUAAACAAUUUUUAACCUAACAGAAAAAUCGACAUCAGGUGAUUUUCAUUUACAAUUAUAGAACUACAGAACUAACAAGUAGUAUUUGAGGCAUUCCACACUAUCACCACUGCAAUCCUAUCUCAUAUAAAACCUGGUGUAAACCGACAGUGUUCACUAACAGUAUUUGCUGCUACACUGGAAAGGCACGAUAAUGUCAUGCUUAAAGAAACGACAUCUCACAGCACUAGAUGACACAGUAACACAGAGACAUUUUCAGAUGUUUGGUUUUUUUCCUGCCCGUGAAAGGGGGGGUGUCUGGACCACCCUAUUACUUUUACCUGGUUUCGUAACACGAUUCAAGACAUAAUUUCAUUCAUCUUCAUUUAAAAUUGUUCACAUUGAUGUGAACCACUUUCAGAAGUCUAGAAAAGAACAGUUUCAGAUAACUCAAAAUUAAACACUUGGAUGACCUCCAAACAGGUCAAAGAUGAUGUAUAGUCUGAUUUUUUUGUUCAUGUCAUAGCAGCUAUUAGCCUUUCUCCUUUAUUUGCUAACCUUGAACUAGAUGUUGAUAUGUCUUGCCAUGCUUACACAACCUUGACUGUUGUAUAAUCUACCCUCAAUGUUCCUUCUUCAAGAUAAUCAUUUAUCUUAAAGGGAAGCGUCUAGUUGUUCAGAGCUGUUCGUUUAGAUGCUUUUCUCUGCUUUCAGAACAUUCGCUAUUUUCCCCCUCAUUGGCUUCAAUGUUUGCUGCCAACCACAUGACAUGUCAACAUCUAAUUUACAACCAGCUGUUUCCAGGAAACGGUCCACUCAUCUUCAAUUGACCGGCACUUGAGUCAUUAUUCCUGAAAAUGUACAGACCAAGCCCAGUCUGACCACACAGCUGGUGUGUAUCACCCAGGACCCCGCGAAGCAUCUUCAAUGAAAUGCCUCAACUUCACAAGCAUCGCGUGUGGUGGGCUGAUGGCCCUGCGUGGUGGUCCAGGCUGAGACCUUGACAGCGAUGCACAGCUGGAACGGGGCAGGGCAUGUCUUCCGGAGGUUUCUUCCACAUGAACUAGUCUCCUAACCCCUUCCGGUGCCGUUUGAAAACCCCAAUGGACACACUGACGUGGAUUAAAACA
Eptesicus fuscus (big brown bat) is the source of this 4583-nucleotide long non-coding RNA. RefSeq lists it as uncharacterized. The record is from RefSeq and is a predicted model, not a curated record. NCBI's taxonomy places the organism in Eukaryota, Metazoa, Chordata, Mammalia, Chiroptera, Vespertilionidae. The transcript is spliced from 3 exons.